CUCAAUUUCCUCACUUUCUUUUCUUUGAAUGCUAAAAAUUUGAAUGAGAGAGGUUUGAAUUUCCCUAAACUGAUUGUGACUUUGGACUGCUCAUGUUACUAAGGAAGAGAGAGAGGAAUUUGCCUCCACAAACAAAGUUGAUAACACAUUUGGUAAGUGUCAAGGAAGAAGGGAGGGAUUAUAACAAAAGAGUUUGUUUUUGCCUGAAAAUUAUUCAAUACACAAGGUUGGGAUCAUUUUAUAGAUGUAUAAUGUUUUGGCUACUGCAUGCUAAAGUAAAAGUGAUUCAAAAGUAAUCUAGCAAUGACCA
RNAcentral lists this long non-coding RNA (310 nucleotides) under Androctonus crassicauda. Lineage: Eukaryota; Metazoa; Arthropoda; Arachnida; Scorpiones; Buthidae. The record is from RNAcentral.